RNAcentral lists this long non-coding RNA (259 nucleotides) under Setaria italica (foxtail millet). Its description in RNAcentral is "long non-coding RNA (SITA_LNC000431)". The record is from RNAcentral. Lineage: Eukaryota; Viridiplantae; Streptophyta; Magnoliopsida; Poales; Poaceae.
AUGAAACAUCAUAUGGUGGUCUACUUCUUUGUACUACAUACAUCCCUCUUCUGUUAUCUUGUCUUGCAAAGAUCACUCAAUCAUGGCUUCUAUUCUAACAUAUAUAUAAAGUAUAGCAGCUAGCAUUAUUGCCCAUGUUGCUGCUAUGUAAGUUUCUCGGCGAUGGCAAUCCAAGUACAGAGAGGAUGACCAGCAUCGAAAUGUGCUACUGAUGUUUCUAUGUCGGCCGUCGAAUGAUCCACGGUAUGGAAGAGCUGAU